UGUUGACAUUAUAGUUGUGCAGGCACUUUGUUGACUGUAGAGAACCUCUGGCCAAUUGCACAUCCCUGUGACGGUGACUUUGCAUGUCAUCCAUAUCAACUUUCGAUGCCAGUUUCUGCACCUACCAUGGUGACCACGGGUAACGGGGAAUCAGGGUUCCAUUCUGUACAGAGACCCUGAGAAACGGCUACCACAUGCAAGUAAGGCAGCAGGUGUGCAAAUGACCCACUCCCGGGAAGGUAGUGAUAACA
This is a non-coding RNA of Pelobates cultripes (western spadefoot toad), 251 nucleotides long. The record is from the annotation of a GenBank genome assembly. Lineage: Eukaryota; Metazoa; Chordata; Amphibia; Anura; Pelobatidae.